Molecule: ribosomal RNA, 253 nt
Filed under: uncultured bacterium
Lineage: Bacteria
Description: partial 16S ribosomal RNA
Rfam family: Bacterial small subunit ribosomal RNA
Source: RNAcentral
UACGUAGGGGGCGAGCGUUGUCCGGAUUUACUGGGCGUAAAGAGCGUGUAGGCGGCCAAGCAGGUCCGUUGUGAAAACUGGAGGCUCAACCUCCAGACGUCGACGGAAACCGCGUGGCUAGAGUCCGGAAGAGGAGAGUGGAAUUCCUGGUGUAGCGGUGAAAUGCGCAGAUAUCAGGAAGAACACCAAUGGCGAAGGCAGCUCUCUGGGACGGUACUGACGCUGAGACGCGAAAGCGUGGGGAGCGAACAGG